GGGCGGUUAGCUCAGUUGGUUAGAGCGUCUCAGUGACAUUGAGGAGGUCGCAGGUUCAAGUCCUGCACCGCCCACAA
RNAcentral lists this transfer RNA (77 nucleotides) under Candidatus Nealsoniibacteriota bacterium. RNAcentral's name for it is "Candidatus Nealsonbacteria bacterium tRNA-Val". It matches the Rfam family "tRNA". From Rfam's summary of the family: Transfer RNA (tRNA) molecules are approximately 80 nucleotides in length. The record is from RNAcentral. Lineage: Bacteria; Candidatus Nealsoniibacteriota.